UACAGAGGGUGCGAGCGUUAAUCGGAAUUACUGGGCGUAAAGCGUGCGCAGGCGGUUUUGUAAGUUUGUCGUGAAAGCCCCGGGCUCAACCUGGGAAUUGCGAUGAAGACUGCAAGGCUUGAAUCUGGCAGAGGGGGGUAGAAUUCCACGUGUAGCAGUGAAAUGCGUAGAGAUGUGGAGGAACACCGAUGGCGAAGGCAGCCCCCUGGGUCAAGAUUGACGCUCAUGCACGAAAGCGUGGGGAGCAAACAGG
Molecule: ribosomal RNA, 253 nt
Filed under: uncultured bacterium
Lineage: Bacteria
Description: partial 16S ribosomal RNA
Rfam family: Bacterial small subunit ribosomal RNA
Source: RNAcentral